This 496-nucleotide ribosomal RNA is filed under the name uncultured bacterium. Its description in RNAcentral is "partial 16S ribosomal RNA". It matches the Rfam family "Bacterial small subunit ribosomal RNA", at positions 28 to 506 of the family's 1533-position model. The record is from RNAcentral.
GAUGAACGCUGGCGGCGUGCCUAAUACAUGCAAGUCGAGCGAACAGACGAGGAGCUUGCUCCUCUGACGUUAGCGGCGGACGGGUGAGUAACACGUGGAUAACCUACCUAUAAGACUGGGAUAACUUCGGGAAACCGGAGCUAAUACCGGAUAAUAUAUUGAACCGCAUGGUUCAAUAGUGAAAGACGGUUUUGCUGUCACUUAUAGAUGGAUCCGCGCUGCAUUAGCUAGUUGGUAAGGUAACGGCUUACCAAGGCGACGAUGCGUAGCCGACCUGAGAGGGUGAUCGGCCACACUGGAACUGAGACACGGUCCAGACUCCUACGGGAGGCAGAAGUAGGGAAUCUUCCGAAAUGGGCGAAAGCUUGACGGAGCAACGCCGCGUGAGUGAUGAAGGUCUUCGGAUCGUAAAACUCUGUUAUUAGGGAAGAACAAAUGUGUAAGUAACUAUGCACGUCUUGACGGUACCUAAUCAGAAAGCCACGGCUAACUACGU